Triticum aestivum (bread wheat) is the source of this 2893-nucleotide RNA transcript. It is a transcript of the gene named protein FREE1-like, with no coding region annotated. The record is from RefSeq and is a predicted model, not a curated record. Lineage: Eukaryota; Viridiplantae; Streptophyta; Magnoliopsida; Poales; Poaceae. The transcript is spliced from 17 exons.
CUUCCCCUGCAAACAAACGCAAUCGCGAAGCAUCGAAUCGGAUCAGAGUUUUGGGAAAAAAAGACAGACAGAGAGGAAAUCGCCGUCGCCUUCCACCUCGCCGGCGAUGCAGCACGGGAGCGGCGACUACGCCUCCCCCGCCCCCGCGGGCCACUACUACCCUCACCAGUACGCGCCGCCGGGGCCGACCUCCCACCCCGCCGCCGCCGACCCCCCGAUCCCGGGGGCCUACGCCUCCGCGCCGCCCUACUCCGUCGGCGGCUACCCCGAGCAGCUGCCAUCCGCCCCGUCCUACACGCAGCCGCCCCAGUACGCCGGGUACCCACCCUACAACCCCACGCCCUACCCCCCUGAACCCUCGCCGGCGCCGUACUACAGCUACUCGCAGCCCACCCAGCCGGCUCCCGCGGCGGAACCCAGCCCAGCGCCGCUUCCCUAUGAUGCCCCGUACUACGGUGGAGGCUACCAGCAGCCCGCCGCUGGGUAUGGCGACGAUGAUUACCUGAACGAGGGCGCGUAUGCCUAUACAGGCAACGCGGGCCCCGAGCCGUACGGCGCGCGGGGCACAGCGCCGACGCGAUCAGGAGCCGCGAUGUUUGAUGACUACGGCCGGUCGAUUGGACUCUCGUCCGGAGGGGCGGAGCAGCCACACGGCGGCGGGGGCGGCAGCGUGGGUGGGAGCUUUGGGAAGAUUGCCAGGGCUGUUCCAAAAGCAGAAACCCAUGAGGAUGCUAGUGGUGGUGCGCAGAAGUUUCGGGUUAAGCUGCUGCCAGAGGGUGCCGGAAGCCCUACCGAUGUGCUUUGCCAGGUUGGUCUGGAUGGAAUCCGCAUGCUUGAUCCCAGCACAAACAGGACCCUAAGGAUUUAUCCCCUUGAUACACUGACGAAAUGGGAGGUUUUGGAUUCAACUGUAUUUGCGAUUUGGGCAAAGACUUCAGUGGAUUUUGAAGCAAAGAGAAUAAGGCUGAAGUCAAACAGCUAUACUUCCAAUACUUUGCUUGAUAUUGUAACAGCAGCAACAGUCCAGUUUAAGGAGAUCGGUGAAGAUGCAAGAGCCAAAGGAACAGUAGACGCUGGCAAAUCCUCAAUACAAUCAAAUGAGAAGAAAAAAGGUUUUGAUUGGAUGUUUGCGAAACCUGUUGAUGAAGUGAAAGAUCAUUGGGUUCCAGAUGAGGCUGCUAAGAAAUGCCAGUCUUGUGCUGGUGAUUUCAGUCAUUUCAACCGCAGGCAUCAUUGUAGGAACUGUGGCGAGAUCUUCUGUGAUAAAUGCAGCCAAGGAAGAAUUGCUCUGACAGCUGAAGAUAAUGCUCCACUUGUCCGAGUUUGCGAUAGAUGCAUGGCAGAGGUUUCUCAGAGGCUUAGUAUGGCACAGGAAGCUGCAAACAGAUCUACCACAGUGCAAAGUCAUGGAGAUCUUGCAAGAAAACUGAAGGUAAUAUACUAGAUGACCCUUUCUCUAUCUCAGGGGGGGGGGGGGCAUAUUAGGCUUUCAAGGAGAGGGUUAUUGAGGAGGGCUCUUGGAGGAAGGAGGUGAUGCAAACAAUAUGAGGAACUGGAGAGGAAUCGCAAGUCUUCAGGGACGGCGUCUGGAGGUGCAUCUGGAACAAGAAUGCGGGAAGUUGCGUGUCCUACCUGCACAGUCCAUCUUCAGCUUGGAUCCCUCAUCGAGGAGCGUUCCUCUCCAAGCUUCUUACAUCAUCAGCAAUUAAUGGCCACCGGAGGUAUGACCCUGGAGAGCCUACCGAACGAGCUACCAUUAGACUUCUUGAACAAAAUCACAAAGAACUUCUCCGAUGAGCUACUACUUGGUCAGGGCGCGUUCGGGUCAGUUUAUAAGGGGAUCCUGGACGAUGGAGUGGUUGCCGUGAAGAAACUCGCGGAAAAUUCGCCUGUACCACGUGACACAAUAUUCGCGAAUGAGGUUCAGAAUAUUAUGGUGCUCGAGCAUGAGAAUAUCGUCAAGUUAGUUGCGUACUGCCGAGAAGCACAAAACAAAUUGGUGCAGAGCAACGGACGAUAUAUUACUGCAGAGAUCACUGACACUGUACUCUGCUAUGAAUACUUGCCUAAGGGGAGCCUUCACAAGAAUCUUUUUGGUGAAUCCAGUAGCAUUGAUUGGGAUAUGCGCUUUAAAAUAAUAAAGGGAGUAUGUGAAGGUCUACAUUUUCUACAUACCUUGCCUAGUCCCGUUCUCCAUUUGGGUCUGAAGCCUCAAAAUAUACUACUGGGUGACAACAUGACACCGAAAAUUGCGGAUUUUGGUUUCUCCAGAAUAUUCGGCCAAGAUCAAACCCGAAAGAACACACGAAGUGUCGUGGGAUCGGUUGGGUACAUGGCCCCAGAGUUUCUGUACAAUGGCGAAAUCUCGGCUCGGUCAGACAUAUAUAGUUUAGGCCUAAUCAUAAUGGAGAUAUCCACGAGAGAGAUGAAUAGUUCUAGCACUGACCAGAAGCAUGCAAGGAAAUAUAUUGAUGGAGUAAAAGAAAAUUGGACACUGGAGAAAAUAAUGUCUGAGUACACUGAGUUAGAAGAACAUGGUUUCGAUCAAGUAGAAGCAUGUAUCAAUAUUGGUCUACAGUGUGUAGAGAUUGAUCAGAAGAAGAGACCUUCCAUAGAGAACAUUGUCAAUAUGCUCAAUAAGCUUCCAGUGAGCGAGGAGGUUUCCCAUUCCAUGUGAGCACAAAACUUCCCACUUUUCAGUGGGAGAUGUCAAACAUCAAGUAAAACAAGAUCAAUGGUACAAAAGUGGAUGAUGAAACCAAUAUUUGCAUUCAAUAAAGGCAAGCCAUGAUGGCCUUUUGUAAAAAAAAAGUAUUAACGAAAAGUGUAUUGUGGGAACAUGACCCAUUGAUAUCACACAAUUGCAAAUAUAUUUAGUUUUACUUCCUCUGGA